GUCUACUGCCAUGCUAUGCUGAGCAAGCCUGAUCCCGUCUGAUCUGAGAAGCUAAGCAAGAUUGGGCCUGGUUAGUACCUGGAUAGGAGACCACCUAGGAAGAUCCGGUGCUAUAGGCC
RNAcentral lists this ribosomal RNA (119 nucleotides) under Pteropus alecto (black flying fox). The record is from RNAcentral. Lineage: Eukaryota; Metazoa; Chordata; Mammalia; Chiroptera; Pteropodidae.